This 352-nucleotide unclassified non-coding RNA is filed under the name soil metagenome. RNAcentral describes it as "partial contains 5.8S ribosomal RNA, internal transcribed spacer 2, and large subunit ribosomal RNA". The stretch from base 1 to 120 matches the Rfam family "5.8S ribosomal RNA", at positions 35 to 154 of the family's 154-position model. The record is from RNAcentral.
GAUGAAGAACGUAGCGAAAUGCGAUAAGUAAUGUGAAUUGCAGAAUUCAGUGAAUCAUCGAAUCUUUGAACGCACAUUGCGCCCGCCAGUAUUCUGGCGGGCAUGCCUGUUCGAGCGUCAUUACAACCCUCAGGCCCCCGGGCCUGGCGUUGGGGAUCGGCGGAGCCCCCCGUGGGCACACGCCGUCCCCCAAAUGCAGUGGCGGUCCCGCCGCAGCUUCCAUCGCGUAGUAGCUAACACCUCGCGACUGGAGAGCGGCGCGGCCACGCCGUAAAACACCCACCUCUUCUGAAGUUGACCUCGAAUCAGGUAGGAAUACCCGCUGAACUUAAGCAUAUCAAUAAGCGGAGGA